RNAcentral lists this unclassified non-coding RNA (200 nucleotides) under soil metagenome. RNAcentral describes it as "partial contains internal transcribed spacer 2 and large subunit ribosomal RNA". The record is from RNAcentral.
GGUGCCGUGGUCUCAACGGCUCGUCUGAAAUGCCUGAGUGUACCCCGCUUUGCGGCGUAUUCGGUGUGAUACAUCUUCACCGGAGUUGAUCUUUCGGGAUCGCGUCUGUAAUGGUGUGGCGCUAUGCUUUCCAACCGUCCCUUUAGGACAAUCUCUGACAAUUUGACCUCAAAUCGGGUGGGACUACCCGCUGAACUUAA